UCCGGUUUAUCACCGGCAGUUUCCUUAAAGUGCCCGGCAUUACCCGCUGGUAACUAAGGAUAAGGGUUGCGCUCGUUGCGGGACUUAACCCAACAUCUCACGACACGAGCUGACGACAGCCAUGCAACACCUGUGAUAGUCCAGCCGAGCUGACCAACUAGUCUCCUAGUCGUACGACUACCAUGUCAAGACCUGGUAAGGUUUUUCGCGUAUCAUCGAAUUAAACCACAUGUUCCACCGCUUGUGCGGGUCCCCGUCAAUUCCUUUGAGUUUUAAUCUUGCGACCGUACUUCCCAGGCGGAGUGCUUAACGCGUUAGCUGUAACACCGAGAUCUAAGUCCCGAUAUUUAGCACUCAUCGUUUACUGCGUGGACUAC
This 377-nucleotide unclassified non-coding RNA is filed under the name uncultured Candidatus Midichloriaceae bacterium. RNAcentral describes it as "contains 16S-23S intergenic spacer region". Lineage: Bacteria; Pseudomonadati; Pseudomonadota; Alphaproteobacteria; Rickettsiales; Candidatus Midichloriaceae. The record is from RNAcentral.